AUUUGACGGAAAGCUGAAGAUGUGGGAAUUCUGGGAGCCAGUGCAGUGUGGACCUGCUGAGGACAACCGGGAUGUAAGCCAGAAUGGUCAGUCCUUCGGGCCACUAGCACAAGAGUUUGCCUUUCAACCAGCCAAACUUUCAGGAUCUCCUGGAGUUGCAAUGGAACCCUUGUUACCGGAUGACCCACCUCAAGAUUCCCUUUGAUACGGAAGUCACUCAAGAUAAUGCCUUUGCAGUGGAAGAUGUCAGCAAAGAUGAGGUCAUCUGUGUAGCCCUGUGUGACUUCAAAUUCAUGGCCAUACUCUUGCCUUCAUCUCUCCUGUGCCAGGCUGAUGUUCUUGGACCGCCAUGUCCUGUGGUGUGGGCUUACUUCUCUCUUUAGUCCUCAGGGAGUCCGUGCUGUCAUUCUUGCAUAUGGAGGGCAGCACUUAAAAUGCUCAGACUGACAUCUAUGGUCAUGAUGUUUAUUUUGAUAUUUGAGGAAUGCCUGCGCAGGAGAAUUAAUCACUAUUUUAUGUAUCUCAAUUAUUAUUUCUGGAAAAGGCUAGAAGAAUCUUGGUUAAAAAUGAAAAUCCCUUGACCUGUAAGUACCUCUCGCUGCAGAGCCCUCGAUAUGGUCAGGAGGAAAUGAGUGUUGGCAUUGCCUGGUUGUAAUAGCGCAGAUGUAUUGCAGUUGAAGAGUUGUUACUAUAGCAACCCUGUCUGUGUGACUGCAUGUUCAAUUCUUUUCUUCAGUCUCGCAUCUUUCUGUGACCUACAACAAAGCUUGGAUUGUUGCUCCCAAGAUUUAUUCCCCAUUUCAUU
Molecule: long non-coding RNA, 805 nt
Filed under: Mus pahari (shrew mouse)
Lineage: Eukaryota; Metazoa; Chordata; Mammalia; Rodentia; Muridae
Description: lncRNA (MGP_PahariEiJ_G0005410.1)
Source: RNAcentral